Long non-coding RNA from Apodemus sylvaticus (European woodmouse), 1648 nucleotides. RefSeq lists it as uncharacterized. The record is from RefSeq and is a predicted model, not a curated record. NCBI's taxonomy places the organism in Eukaryota, Metazoa, Chordata, Mammalia, Rodentia, Muridae. The transcript has 2 exons.
GGGCCACACCAUUCGCCAUUACAAGAUGGCGCCGAGGAGUGUGGUAAACAGCUCAUUUUGGACCAUGUCCCAGCAUGAGUCUGCCCAGCAACAGCAAUCAACCUAUCCCGGCUUGACUAGCUUAUCUAUAGUAGAAACAUCCUGUCCUGCCUAUAUAAGCCGUUCCCUUUCCUUCUCCCUCGCCUCUCAUCUUCAACUCUCCAUUAAUCCAUCGGUACUCCAAUAAAAGUGUGAUAAGAGAAGAAUCCUCGUGUCGGUGGUCUUCUUCCCUGCCGGUCAGGGGGGCUCGCCACAGCUGGUGCCGAAACCCGGGAAGUAGGUCCAGUGGACACGUCUGAGGGGCCCAAGAAGGAUUCAGAACUCUACACAUGGAGUGAGUAAGUCUCCCCAAGACCGAGCUGAUCCGAUCUGGGUUCCAGAGAGGCUGACUCGCCGAGUUGAAAGCCCAAGAGAGGAGGAUUCGAAUCCCAAUGACAAAGAUGUGGAGAAGAAUAAUGAUGCUGUGGUGGCUGACUCACCUGACGAUCGCCAGUGAAAGUUAUUUUUGGUCUUUUUCUCGCACGUGGCCAAUACCAGUGCCUGUGCAUAAUGAAUCCAAUGUUUUUCCUCAAUUUUACUCCACCCGUUGCCAUUACGGGGUACCCUGUAAAUCUAAAGAUCAGAUCGAUCUGAAAAUGCAAGUUUUUAACCAGACUCGAGUUCCUUUGGCAGGAACACUUUGUUUUUACUGUCUGCCGCGGGCUGGUAUUACUGCUAUAGUUGGUCUGUAAGCUCAGAACCCAAAGCAAAUGAGAUAAAGUGGUCAUUGCGCAGGCACUUGCGGCUCUGGAGAUUGGAACCUCCGCAGAAGUAUGGCUGCCUAUCCUGAGGCAAUAGAAAGCCGGUCCAAACAGCUCUUGCACGCCUGGAGUUUAGCUCAUUGCACAUGGCAGAGUGUUUGGACUAGCGCCUGGGGAAGGUUGUUGAACGAGGUAUCGCAUGGAGGUUAAAUUACCUCCAGGAGGCAUAUCGUCCAGCAUAGGGGUUACCUGCCCAAGUCUCCCCUCUCCCAACAAAACGGCAGAGGACAGGUCGAGGAUACCCCGGAUGUGGCAAGGAGUCUAGGGGAUAUCCCCGUACAUGGUCUAACUUGAUUUAAUUACCAACAGGGAGGGACGAUCUCUGUCUCCACCUUCUAACCAGGUUACCUGUAAGCCCUCAAAUGGCGCCUACUUCCUGUUUUUGUUGAGCCAUAUACAGGCUGAGUGCGCAUGCACGAACGGAGCUUCCUACCACUGAGUCUCUGCCUAUGAGAUGAUGAGUCACAGCCAACCAGGGUAUGCCACGUCCAAGGCAGGAGAAUUUUUGUUCUGGCCUUCUGGCCUAGUACCUUGUUCAAACAAAAGAAAAGGGGGAAGUGUGGGGGGCCACACCAUUCGCCAUUACAAGAUGGCGCCGAGGAGUGUGGUAAACAGCUCAUUUUGGACCAUGUCCCAGCAUGAGUCUGCCCAGCAACAGCAAUCAACCUAUCCCGGCUUGACUAGCUUAUCUAUAGUAGAAACAUCCUGUCCUGCCUAUAUAAGCCGUUCCCUUUCCUUCUCCCUCGCCUCUCAUCUUCAACUCUCCAUUAAUCCAUCGGUACUCCAAUAAAAGUGUGAUAAGAGAAGAA